ACAAACACCACCACUCUCCCAUCUCUCUCUCUCUCUCUCUCUCUUUCCCUAUCUCUGUGUCGCUCACUGUCUCGUCCCCCUUGAAGACAGGCGAGACUCUUGGGGGAUAAAGAGAUAAGAGUAUCAGAGAAACACAUAAACAAACCACUUAGUUGCAACCAACAAUUUAUGAGAAAAGUCUUUUGAAGAUAUAGCUUUAAUUCGGAUGUGCCAAGGAGCUACUCUUUUGAGGGGAAUGUUGUCUGGCUCGAGGACACUUUCUUUUAAUCCAUUUUCUUGCAUUAGUUUGUUCCUAUGGAUCUGAUUAUGAUAUUAAUGGAUUGAGCUUGUGCUAGUGCCGUCGGACCAGGCUUCAUUCCCCCCAAUUAUUGCUUCCAUACGGCACUCUGUAGCAAGGGCUAGAUUCUAGAUCAUGGACUGCAGCAUGUAAAGAUCUGGCUUUGAACUUUGGUAAACAUUCUCUCUUCUUUUUAGCGCCAUCCCUAGCUUUCUUCCUUUUUCAUUGCUCUAGGGUUUCAAGGUGGAGAGCUUGGCUCUUCCCUCAAAUGAAACUUUUUGAACAAAGCUUGACCUGGGUAAAGGAGCAAAGGUAAACAGAAAAGAAAGACUGGCCCUUUCUUUAACAAUUUCCAUGAAAAGUAUUUCUGGUAGUGAGGAGUAAUUACACAACCCAAUUCGGAAGAGCUUUAUAUUUGUGAGUGAUUCUUUGAAAUGAUGUUUAAUUUUCUUUAACUAACAUGGCUCUUUAUCAACUUUCUUUCUUUAUUGAUGUACACUAAUUAGAUCUGUAUUAUCCUUUACCUGCUUUGCAUGGUGAAGGAAGUGCAUUUAAGUAUUGAAUUUAAUAUGAUGCAGUAAUAAUUUUGAAUACCUCAGUUAUAUUUUACUUUAUUUAGAUUCUCUAGCUAGCAAGCUUGUGCUAUUGGAAUGAACAAUGGACCUUUCACUGUAAAUAUUGCAUGUCUCGUAGAGUUAGCGUGAUAGGACAAUGACAGCUUUUGUAAAUAAGAGCUGUGUCAAUGGAAGUGUGGGCACAGGUAUGGGUCUGAUUAAAGGAAACCCAUCACAUGCCUUGGGCUUGUCAUGACAUCUUAUCUAAAACCCUAAAUUUGAUCAUCAAGUUGUCUCUGUUGAGUGUUGAAAUUUGGUAAAAUGACACGCUUAAUUGUUCCAUCGAAUGCUAUCUUCUCUCCUCCCGGGUUUUAAAGAGUGAUGGGUUUCUCCUCCAGGGAUUGAGAUGUGCGCUUACUUCUCACGGUAUUUGUGUUCCUUACUACAGGGUUAAGGAACUUCGUGCAGUAAAGCACAUGCUUUAAUUAACAAGUAGAUAUCAUUUGAAGGAAGGGAGCUUUUCCCUAUGUUUGUGCUUCUUCAGUACAUUUUAGGGAAUUAGUGAUCAAAACGAGGUGUAAAAUUUUAACAUUUCCCAUCAUACUUUUUCCAUAAUUUGCUCUUGCUUUACUCUUGGAUGCUGAGGAACAGAUCACACGAAGAAACAGUUGAUUAGAAAGAUUGGCAGAGGAGAGUUUAUCUAGGGCCUGUAGGCCUUAGGCAACACGUAUCCGAGUAGCUUGUCACACCGGUAUUUAUUAUCUAAAACUCCUCCGCACUCUCUGUGCUUGCCGGCACCCCUACAUUGACCAACAAUCAGAUUCUUGUUCACAUGCUCACCAGAAGGUUUACCCAUGGACAACUUCUCUCAAUGCUUAUAGCGGUGAAAGUUUUGUGUAUUAAAAUCCUGGUUAGGAAUCUAGGAAACAAAUGUCAGGUUUUUUUUUAACACUCCCUACUUGUAUCACUUGUAUGUGCAUUGUACCUUGAGAGUAACAGCAUUAAUGAACCUACAUUCUAUCACUGGAUUUGGAUACUUA
Molecule: long non-coding RNA, 1871 nt
Organism: Theobroma umbraticum
Lineage: Eukaryota; Viridiplantae; Streptophyta; Magnoliopsida; Malvales; Malvaceae
Source: RefSeq, a predicted model, not a curated record